AUUUUAUAUUCUCAGUAGUCUCCACAUCCACAUUCUUGCUGAAACUUGCUACUCUUGUAUUUUUGACAAUAGCCAUCCUGAGAGAAUAGAGAGCCCAGACAUAAACCUAUGCAUAUACCAUCAACUAAUGUUUUCAAGCAUACCAAGAAUAUGCAAUGAGAAGAAAGUUUAUUCAAUAAAUGUUGGGAAAUCUGGAUAUCCACAUGCAAAGGAAUGAAAUUUGACCCUUAUACCUCUCAUGAAAAUUAACUUGAAAUGGAUCAAAGACUUAAAGCCUGCUUUACCCCAAAUUCUAGCCCCAAGGGGAGAAACAAAAAUUGACAGUACAGGAGAUUCCCAAGAGAUGAAGCUUGCUGAAGGGACAGACAGUAGACCACA
This is a long non-coding RNA of Prionailurus viverrinus (fishing cat), 378 nucleotides long. RefSeq lists it as uncharacterized. The transcript has 3 exons. The record is from RefSeq and is a predicted model, not a curated record. NCBI's taxonomy places the organism in Eukaryota, Metazoa, Chordata, Mammalia, Carnivora, Felidae.